GAGUAACACGUGGGUGAUCUGCCCUGCACUUCGGGAUAAGCCUGGGAAACUGGGUCUAAUACCGGAUAUGACCUCCUAUCGCAUGGUGGGUGGUGGAAAGAUUUAUCGGUGCAGGAUGGGCCCGCGGCCUAUCAGCUUGUUGGUGGGGUAAUGGCCUACCAAGGCGACGACGGGUAGCCGACCUGAGAGGGUGACCGGCCACACUGGGACUGAGACACGGCCCAGACUCCUACGGGAGGCAGCAGUGGGGAAUAUUGCACAAUGGGCGAAAGCCUGAUGCAUCGACGCCGCGUGAGGGAUGACGGCCUUCGGGUUGUAAACCUCUUUCAGCAGGGACGAAGCGCAAGUGACGGUACCUGCAGAAGAAGCACCGGCUAACUACUUGC
This 386-nucleotide ribosomal RNA is filed under the name Nocardia farcinica. RNAcentral describes it as "bacterial SSU rRNA". It matches the Rfam family "Bacterial small subunit ribosomal RNA", at positions 108 to 508 of the family's 1533-position model. The record is from RNAcentral. Lineage: Bacteria; Bacillati; Actinomycetota; Actinomycetes; Mycobacteriales; Nocardiaceae.